RNAcentral lists this ribosomal RNA (496 nucleotides) under uncultured bacterium. RNAcentral's name for it is "bacterial SSU rRNA". It matches the Rfam family "Bacterial small subunit ribosomal RNA", at positions 427 to 916 of the family's 1533-position model. The record is from RNAcentral.
AAAGCACUUUUAGUGGGGAUGAAAUGUGCAGGGUUAAUACCUCUGCAUUUUGACCUAACCCACAGAAAAAGCACCGGCUAGCUCUGUGCCAGCAGCCGCGGUAAUACAGAGGGUGCAAGCGUUAAUCGGAAUUACUGGGCGUAAAGCGUGCGCAGACGGUUGCGUAAGUCAGAUGUGAAAGCCCCGGGCUCAACCUGGGAAUUGCAUUUGAGACUGCGUAGCUAGGGUGCGGAAGAGGGAAGCGGAAUUUCCGGUGUAGCGGUGAAAUGCGUAGAUAUCGGAAGGAACACCAGUGGCGAAAGCGGCUUCCUGGUCCAGCACCGACGUUCAGGCACGAAAGCGUGGGGAGCAAACAGGAUUAGAUACCCUGGUAGUCCACGCCAUAAACGAUGAGAACUAGACGUUGAAGGGGUAAGCCCUCCAGUGUCGUAGCUAACGCGCUAAGUUCUCCGCCUGGGGAGUACGGCCGCAAGGUUGAAACUCAAUGAAUUGACGG